RNAcentral lists this ribosomal RNA (291 nucleotides) under uncultured bacterium. RNAcentral's name for it is "partial 16S ribosomal RNA". It matches the Rfam family "Bacterial small subunit ribosomal RNA", at positions 333 to 616 of the family's 1533-position model. The record is from RNAcentral.
GGCGUCCUACGGGGCGCAGCAGUAGGGAAUCUUCCACAAUGGGCGAAAGCCUGAUGGAGCAACGCCGCGUGGGUGGAGAAGGUCUUCGGAUCGUAAAACCCUGUUGUUAGAGAAGAAAGUGCGUGAGAGUAACUGUUCACGUUUCGACGGUAUCUAACCAGAAAGCCACGGCUAACUACGUGCCAGCAGCCGCGGUAAUACGUAGGUGGCAAGCGUUAUCCGGAUUUAUUGGGCGCAAAGGGAACGCAGGCGGUCUUUUAAGUCUGAUGUGAAAGCCUUCGGCUUAAACGG